This 497-nucleotide ribosomal RNA is filed under the name uncultured bacterium. RNAcentral describes it as "partial 16S ribosomal RNA". It matches the Rfam family "Bacterial small subunit ribosomal RNA", at positions 28 to 507 of the family's 1533-position model. The record is from RNAcentral.
GAUGAACGCUGGCGGCGUGCCUAAUACAUGCAAGUCGAGCGAACAGACGAGGAGCUUGCUCCUCUGACGUUAGCGGCGGACGGGUGAGUAACACGUGGAUAACCUACCUAUAAGACUGGGAUAACUUCGGGAAACCGGAGCUAAUACCGGAUAAUAUAUUGAACCGCAUGGUUCAAUAGUUAUAGACGGUUUUGCUGUCACUUAUAGAUGGAUCCGCGCCGCAUUAGCUAGUUGGUAAGGUAACGGCUUACCAAGGCAACGAUGCGUAGCCGACCUGAGAGGGUGAUCGGCCACACUGGAACUGAGACACGGUCCAGACUCCUACGGGAGGCAGCAGUAGGGAAUCUUCCGCAAUGGGCGAAAGCCUGACGGAGCAACGCCGCGUGAGUGAUGAAGGUCUUCGGAUCGUAAAACUCUGUUAUUAGGGAAGAACAAAUGUGUAAGUAACUAUGCACGUCUUGACGGUACCUAAUCAGAAAGCCACGGCUAACUACGUG